GGGAGUAAUGUAUGGGGAUCUGCCCGAUAGAGGGGGAUAACUACUGGAAACGGUGGCUAAUACCGCAUAAUGUCUACGGACCAAAGCAGGGGCUCUUCGGACCUUGCACUAUCGGAUGAACCCAUAUGGGAUUAGCUAGUAGGUGGGGUAAAGGCUCACCUAGGCGACGAUCUCUAGCUGGUCUGAGAGGAUGAUCAGCCACACUGGGACUGAGACACGGCCCAG
RNAcentral lists this ribosomal RNA (225 nucleotides) under uncultured bacterium. RNAcentral's name for it is "partial 16S ribosomal RNA". It matches the Rfam family "Bacterial small subunit ribosomal RNA", at positions 106 to 334 of the family's 1533-position model. The record is from RNAcentral.